GCAAUCGUUAAAAGAGCGACAAGAAGAGGAAAGAUAUUUUGUGUUAUUAAUUUAUUUUCGAGUUGGAAAUUGUUCCGAGGAGAAAUGGAAGGAACGUUCCCGGCCAUUCAAAGAAUCUUUCAGAAAGAAAUCGAAAGAAUCGUGUCUAUUUGUUUUCCUGCCGUCGUCUUCGGUUCCGUCCGAACAGAAAAGAGGAGAAGAAACGACAAUAAAUAGCUGAAGAUUUCUCGGAUGACAUUUCUUUAUCUAUCGAAUGGCCCUAGAGUUUGGUUUGUGGAAUGUGCUAACAAGUAUUAAAAGUGCUUUACGUUUUUCUCUUGAAUGAAGUUUCCUGACUAAGUGUAGACAAACAUCUUGAACUCAGCUUUAAUUUUGUGGCGCCACAUUUCCAAGAAAGAAUCUAAAAUUAUUUAAUUUUAAAUAUUUCAUUUGUUUUAUAAAAUAAUGCAUGACGUCAUUCUCGUAUCUGAUUUCAUUCAAACCUUUAUUUUCAGAUUCACUAUCAUCCAAUAGAGAGAAGAGUAACAAACGUAGAACUGUUUCCAGGAAAAGGAUGAGUCGAGGAAUGCGUUUAAGUUCUGUUUACAGAAGACUCAAUUGAAGGCAGUGAUAAGAAAUUAUACGAGAAUAUGAAAAAAGGAAGAAUAUAUGUCAAGCAAAUGAAGAGAAACAGAAAUGAAAUGAAGAACAUAUUUUAAAUAAUUUCCAAAUAUGUUAUAUUUUAAAAUGCUCUUCAUAUAAGUUGUUUUGAGAUAAAUGUAUAAAUUACAUUAAUUUGUGAUAGUAUGUGUAUACUACUUGAAAAUAUUUGCAAAUACUGGUGUAAGCAGUUUACGUAUGAUUUAUUGUUUCAUUUGGGGUGGUCUAGUUAGUUGUAAGGUAUCAAUUUUCGUUUAAAAAGUCUUGCUAGAAAAAAAAUUAUUUUUCUAUCUGCACACACACUCUAACAAUACUUUAAAAUCAGCGAUUAAUAUUAGAUAUUUGCAUAUUCGAUUAGCAAUGAAGUGAAG
This is an RNA transcript of Centruroides sculpturatus (bark scorpion), 1010 nucleotides long. It is a transcript of the gene named gastrula zinc finger protein XlCGF49.1-like, with no coding region annotated. The transcript is spliced from 3 exons. Lineage: Eukaryota; Metazoa; Arthropoda; Arachnida; Scorpiones; Buthidae. The record is from RefSeq and is a predicted model, not a curated record.